UACAAAUUGACUAUGUUUGUCUUGCAUAUGACUAUUGGGCCCUUAACUGCCUUUAAUCUGAAGUAUUUUAAGUAUUGAUUUUCUUUCUCGUAUUCUGUUACCAUAUAAACACUGUUCAGUUUUCUACUGACAGUCUGGGAAGAAAACAACCUUAAAACAGGCUUUUAGCUCCACAUUUUGGCCUUCCCCUGCGGAUGGAGCUGCUCAGCUGUCAAAAGAGACGUCUAGUUUGUUAUCACAUGACCCAAGCAUAGAUUUUUAGGUCCUGUGAUAGCAGGCGGUCAUGCAUGUCUCUGUUCAAGGAUGGUCUCAGGUGUCCGAUGUGAAUGGCCUGUUUUAUUUUUGUCCAGCCAUCCAGGAACUCCCACUCGAUGGCUUUGAUCCGUUCCCAGCCGAGAACGAUACAAGAAAGAAAGUAGAGACUCGCAAGUUAAGAGCGGCACUGAGGGACGUUGAACUGAGGUUGAGGAAUGCCGUUUCCAAUAAAUCUCCCACUAAGCUGUUGCAGAGUGUAGCAGAGUCACGAGGGAGAGGAUGCGGUUAUGAAGAAGAGUUGAAGGUCGGUGCAGUAAAUGAGUGGCAGGACCAGGGCCUCAGAAUAAACCAUGUGUGGCCCCUCGGCUGGGCUCCUGUCUUCCAGCUCGUCCUGCAACUCAUCAGAAGCUCCAACUUUGAUGCGGGAUGCUGCGGCUCUUCCUCCGGCUCUGGUGGGGAUGGAGAUGGGACCACAUCCUCCCACACUGGAGAGAGGGUGGAUUCUUUCUGUUUAGACAGAUGCAUGAGGAGUUCCACACUGGAGGCAUCAUAAACCCUAAACGCUCUUCUAGGAUGUAGCUUUGCUGUGA
This is a long non-coding RNA of Amphiprion ocellaris (clown anemonefish), 845 nucleotides long. The record is from Ensembl. Lineage: Eukaryota; Metazoa; Chordata; Actinopteri; Pomacentridae.